Non-coding RNA from Papio anubis (olive baboon), 289 nucleotides. The record is from Rfam. NCBI's taxonomy places the organism in Eukaryota, Metazoa, Chordata, Mammalia, Primates, Cercopithecidae.
GGAUGUGAGGGCGAUCUGGCUGCGAUAUCUGUCACCCCAUUGAUUGCCAGGGCUGAUUCCGCUGAUCUCGCUGGCUAGGCGGGUGGCCCUUCCUCCCGCACCGCUCCCGAGGCUGCAUACUCGGUCGAAAAGGAGGAGCAUCCCCCAUAGAGGAGGACAGGUCAAGGAUAUAGGAGUAGCUGCACGCCCCUGUUAACAAGCUCUCAAGGUCCUCCAAACAAGCUCUCAAGGUCUACUUACUGGCCUGUUUUAUCCCAAGCUGGUUACAUAUAAGGACUUUGCAGUCCUG